UGCGAUAACAAGACACAGUUCCACUCC
This 27-nucleotide non-coding RNA is filed under the name Cricetulus griseus (Chinese hamster). Lineage: Eukaryota; Metazoa; Chordata; Mammalia; Rodentia; Cricetidae. The record is from RNAcentral.